Molecule: transfer RNA, 79 nt
Filed under: Actinomycetota bacterium
Lineage: Bacteria; Bacillati; Actinomycetota
Description: tRNA-Ala
Source: RNAcentral
GCCGAGCUGGACAACGGCGUGGUCGUCGGGCAGCUGCCGACCGGUGACGACCCCGACCAGUUCGGCCUGGUGCUCGACA